This 474-nucleotide ribosomal RNA is filed under the name uncultured bacterium. RNAcentral's name for it is "partial 16S ribosomal RNA". It matches the Rfam family "Bacterial small subunit ribosomal RNA", at positions 28 to 523 of the family's 1533-position model. The record is from RNAcentral.
GACGAACGCUGGCGGCGUGCUUAACACAUGCAAGUCGAACGGUAGGGCCCUUCGGGGUACACGAGUGGCGAACGGGUGAGUAACACGUGGGUGAUCUGCCCUGCACUUCGGGAUAAGCCUGGGAAACUGGGUCUAAUACCGGAUAGGACUCCUGGCUUCAUGGUUGGGGGUGGAAAGCUCUUGCGGUGUGGGAUGGGCCCGCGGCCUAUCAGCUUGUUGGUGGGGUAAUGGCCUACCAAGGCGACGACGGGUAGCCGGCCUGAGAGGGUGACCGGUCACACUGGGACUGAGAUACGGCCCAGACUCCUACGGGAUGCAGCAGUGGGGAAUAUUGCACAAUGGGCGCAAGCCUGAUGCAGCGACGCCGCGUGCGGGACGAAGGCCUUCGGGUUGUAAACCGCUUUUAUUGCCGAGGAAUUUUGACUGUAGGCGAUGAAUAAGAGGUUGCUAACUCUGUGCCAGCAGCCGCGGUAA